AUUGAACGCUGGCGGAAUGCUUUACACAUGCAAGUCGAACGGCAGCAUAGGUGCUUGCACCUGAUGGCGAGUGGCGAACGGGUGAGUAAUACAUCGGAACGUGCCCAGUCGUGGGGGAUAACGUAGCGAAAGUUACGCUAAUACCGCAUACGAUCUACGGAUGAAAGCGGGGGACCGUAAGGCCUCGCGCGAUUGGAGCGGCCGAUGUUAGAUUAGGUAGUUGGUGGGGUAAAGGCUCACCAAGCCGACGAUCUAUAGCUGGUCUGAGAGGAUGAUCAGCCACACUGGGACUGAGACACGGCCCAGACUCCUACGGGAGGCAGCAGUGGGGAAUUUUGGACAAUGGGCGCAAGCCUGAUCCAGCCAUUCCGCGUGCAGGACGGAGGCCUUCGGGUUGUAAACUGCUUUUGUACAGAACGAAAAGCUCUGGGUUAAUACCCUGGGGUCAUGACGGUACUGUAAGAAUAAGCACCGGCUAACUACGUG
This 486-nucleotide ribosomal RNA is filed under the name uncultured bacterium. Its description in RNAcentral is "bacterial SSU rRNA". It matches the Rfam family "Bacterial small subunit ribosomal RNA", at positions 30 to 507 of the family's 1533-position model. The record is from RNAcentral.